This 245-nucleotide long non-coding RNA is filed under the name Elaeis guineensis (African oil palm). Its description in RNAcentral is "long non-coding RNA (EGUI_LNC046403)". Lineage: Eukaryota; Viridiplantae; Streptophyta; Magnoliopsida; Arecales; Arecaceae. The record is from RNAcentral.
UUUGCUAUGAUAUUUUCUUUUCAGUUCUUUGACUUUUGUAAUUGGAUUAGAAAUUUAUAAUUCAACAGAUGUUACCCUUUCAAUAUUCAUGAAAAGAGUAAUUAUGUGUCAUUUUUUUAAACUAAAAAAUUAUAACUUUAUUUAUUUCAAUUCAUAUAGUUUUUUGAAUAUAAGAUGUUAUGUUCUGUGUCUGAAUAUCAUAAAUUUUUGAAUGGAUGUCAUAAUGUUAUACAGGGAUAUCAUAA